GUGUGUGAGAGAGAAGGCGAAGGGAGCCGCGGGGUGGGAGAGGAGGGAGUCCCGGCGGGAGGGCGGGGGAGAGGCUGGCGGGAGGGGGGCUCCACGGAGCUCCAGCCAGGGCCGCGGUUCGCCUGCACGUCACGGCUACUCAAACCCAAGCACGUCCCGAAAGCGGUAUUUUCUGCGUCUGGGAGGUUUUUGCAUCCUCAGUUCCCACCGCUGGGGCUGGCGGCGACCAACUAUAGUCAUUUUGCCUCCUGGACAGUUGGCUGACGAAGUGUCUGAUAAACCAGCUUCAGAUACAUGCUACAAAAGAAGUCCCACUUUAUCAUUAAUGAUGACAAUAACUAAGGCUGCCAGGAACAGCACAUCUGCUGAGCUUUAUCAACACCAGAUUCUCUCAUUUUGCCUUCUGGAUCUCCAUGCUUUUUUAUACCAACAAACAAGAGGAAGAAUAUUCUCUACCCACUUCCUUGACUGAAGCCUGCUCUUUUAUGAAGACAUGGCAUCUCUUCCAACCGUGUCAAACAGAUGCAAUUUAUAUGUCUGCUGCUUCCAUACCCUGAUUAAAUGGGUCAGUGGCAGAAUCAGUAUCCUUAGUCUCCCCUUUGGUUUCAAAUAUGUACUCCUUAUUUCAGUUUCAUGCUCACCUUUCUGUAGAGACCAAGGCAUCUGCCUUUGCAGCUUUACCUCUUCCUCCAGGUUAUAGUUUCCAUUCAUGGAAUCUUUUAGCUGCUGGCUGGCAGUUUUCCUGUCUACCUGACUUCCAUUCCUCUUCUCAUGACUUCAGCUCCCAUGCAGAUGUCUUAUCCUGACAUACUAGCUUCUCCAUUCUAUUUCUGUGUGUGUGUGUCUGUGUGUUUCCCUACUAGUUCAUCCACAUUUCCCUAUGGUCUUUUUUUUUUAUGUUUUAUUUUUGCAUAUGUGUAUUUCCUUUUAUUUAUUUAUUUAUUUAUUUAU
Molecule: long non-coding RNA, 951 nt
Filed under: Homo sapiens (human)
Lineage: Eukaryota; Metazoa; Chordata; Mammalia; Primates; Hominidae
Description: HSALNT0108104
Source: RNAcentral